Molecule: transfer RNA, 75 nt
Filed under: Xenopus wittei (Witte's clawed frog)
Lineage: Eukaryota; Metazoa; Chordata; Amphibia; Anura; Pipidae
Description: tRNA-Lys
Rfam family: tRNA
About the family: Transfer RNA (tRNA) molecules are approximately 80 nucleotides in length. Their secondary structure includes four short double-helical elements and three loops (D, anti-codon, and T loops).
Source: RNAcentral
CACUAAGAAGCUAAAUAGGGUAUAAGCGACAGCCUUUUAAGCUGUAGACUGGUGAUCCCCAACCACCCUUAGUGA